Non-coding RNA from Pseudophryne corroboree (corroboree frog), 1609 nucleotides. The record is from the annotation of a RefSeq genome assembly. NCBI's taxonomy places the organism in Eukaryota, Metazoa, Chordata, Amphibia, Anura, Myobatrachidae.
GAGACUGAGUGUCAAUCACUGUGACUACUUCGACAUAUGGGGACAAGGGACCAUGGUCACCGUCACUUCAGCUGAACAGUCGCCCCCGUCUCUCUUUCCACUAAUUUCUUGCGGCACGUCUCAGGAGUCCACCUUCACCAUAGGUUGUUUGGCCAAAGAUUUCCUUCCAGACUCUAUUAACUUCAGCUGGACAGAUAAGUCUAAUAACAGUUUUACCAGCGGCUUUAAGAAGUAUAAUUCCGUGUUGCAAACUAGUGGCACCUACGCAGCAAGCACCCAAAUAACGGUGACCUCUGACAACUGGAAUAAGGCUGAUCCUUUUUACUGUGAGGCCAAAACUGCAGUAAACACCAAGAGUUUGAAAGUCGUGCCAGGAUCAGGAGCAGAUCAUGACCCAAGGAAGCCAAUAGUGACCAUGCACCCACCCUUGAAACAUGACUUGGAAAAGAAUGGCGAAGGCACAAUUGUGUGUGUUGCUGGUGAAUUUUAUCCUCAAUCUAUUAAAGUGUCCUGGCUGAAGAACCAUAAAGCAACCACUCUAUAUACUUAUACAGAAGAAGUAUCUUCCGAUGGUAAUGGAAAUUUUACCAUAAGGUCAUUUAUCACAGUACCUAAAAAAGAUUGGAAUGAGGAUGCAGUGAUCACAUGUAAGGUGGAUCAUUCUGCCUCCGGUUUUUCAGAAAUGAGGAAUUUGAGCAAAUCCCAAGUUUGUGAUACAGUGGUUCUGCCUGACAGCCUCCAAGUGAUUGCUAUCCCUCCAUCUUUUGAGACAAUGUAUCUUACAAAAACUGCUCCACUCACCUGUUUAGUGACAAACAUGGCAAGUGUAGAUGGAUUAGACAUCUCCUGGUAUGAAAAAGGCUCAGAGACAAGACUUACGACCGAGAUUGAAAUCCCAGUGUUCCAUGAUAAUAGCACAUAUUCUACAAAGGCUAUCUCUACUGUGUGUGUUGAUGACUGGCUUACUAAAGAAUUUACCUGCAUAGUGAGGCAUCCUGAACUAGCCACUCCCAGUCAGGUCUCUCUCGUUAAAGAAAAUGGACACACACCCAGAACUCCCACAGUCUUAGUUUUCCCACCACACCAAGAUGAAAUUAAAAUGGGAGAAUCCCUUACCAUGUUAUGCCUGGUGAAAGGGUUCUAUCCAAAGGAUAUAUUUGUCAAGUGGCUGAUUGGCGAUAAACUGGUUGAAGUAAAUGUUGUCAAUACCGAACCUAUUGUAGAGACCAAUCAUUCUGGAGACACCACCUAUUUUAUGUAUAGCAAGUUGACUAUAUUAAAUGGUGCAGAUUGGAACUCUGGUAAAACGUUUACCUGUUUGGCUGGUCACGAAUCUCUGCCUCUACAGGCCACCCAAAGGAGCAUUGACAAAAAUUCUGGUAAACCAACAUCCGUGAAUGUGUCCCUCAUUAUGUCUGAUUCCUGCUAACAAUCCUUAAAAAAGACCUUAUAACACUGCCUCUUGUUCUUCCCUACGUGAUGUGUGGCAUGAGAAGGAGGAGGAAGGAGAAUUGUCAUCGUGGUGUUUGUUGGUCUGCUUUUGUACAUUAACUUAAAUGAAUCCUGUCUGCAUUUUGAAAAGUAGAAAUAAAAAAAUCAAUUUAUAAAA